UUUAUAGAAGCCACACAACAUAAGACAAAAAUGACUUUUAUCUCCAUAACUAUCUUGGUCCUUGCAUUUUACACAAAUGGCUGUGCUGGGGACAUUCUAUUGACCCAGACUCCUGCAGUUGUCAUGGUCCAGUCUGGAGAGUCUGCCACGAUCAGCUGUAAAGCCAGUAGUGCCAUUGACGAUGACUUAGCCUGGUACCAUCAAAAACCUGGAGAAGCUCCUAAAUUCAUCAUCAACUUUAACACAGGUUUAACAUCUGGUCGAUAUCAAGGCACUGGAUAUGAUAUUGAGUUCACCCUGACCAUCAGUGGAGUUCAAGCCGAAGAUGCAGGAGAUUACUACUGUCAGCAGCAUGAAGCUGAUCCGAUCACACAGUGAUACAGAGCUGUACAAAAACCUCCCUCAGCUGUAGAGGAAGUGAUCUAAAUCUGCCUACUGGGGACUUUCACAAAUGUUGUGUUGAAAUACAAUAUUAAUAUUUAUCGUGACAAGGAUUAUCAUGACAAAUACAGAUGAAAUCUCGCUUCUUGUGACGGCCGGCCGCCCAACAACCUGCCCGCUUGACCCUAUCCCC
Oncorhynchus masou masou (cherry salmon) is the source of this 574-nucleotide long non-coding RNA. RefSeq lists it as uncharacterized. Lineage: Eukaryota; Metazoa; Chordata; Actinopteri; Salmoniformes; Salmonidae. The record is from RefSeq and is a predicted model, not a curated record. The transcript is spliced from 3 exons.